AACUCUGGUAUUGAUUGGUGCUUGCAUCAUGAUUUACAUUUGAGUGAGUGGCGAACUGGUGAGUAACACGUGGGAAACCUGCCCAGAAGCGGGGGAUAACACCUGGAAACAGAUGCUAAUACCGCAUAACAACUUGGACCGCAUGGUCCGAGCUUGAAAGAUGGCUUCGGCUAUCACUUUUGGAUGGUCCCGCGGCGUAUUAGCUAGAUGGUGGGGUAACGGCUCACCAUGGCAAUGAUACGUAGCCGACCUGAGAGGGUAAUCGGCCACAUUGGGACUGAGACACGGCCCAAACUCCUACGGGAGGCAGCAGUAGGGAAUCUUCCACAAUGGACGAAAGUCUGAUGGAGCAACGCCGCGUGAGUGAAGAAGGGUUUCGGCUCGUAAAACUCUGUUGUUAAAGAAGAACAUAUCUGAGAGUAACUGUUCAGGUAUUGACGGUAUUUAACCAGAAAGCCACGGCUAACUACGUGCCAGCAGCCGCGGUAAUACGUAGGUGGCAAGCGUUGUCCGGAUUUAUUGGGCGUAAAGCGAGCGCAGGCGGUUUUUUAAGUCUGAUGUGAAAGCCUUCGGCUCAACCGAAGAAGUGCAUCGGAAACUGGGAAACUUGAGUGCAGAAGAGGACAGUGGAACUCCAUGUGUAGCGGUGAAAUGCGUAGAUAUAUGGAAGAACACCAGUGGCGAAAGCGGCUGUCUGGUCUGUAACUGACGCUGAGCUCGAAAGUAUGGGUAGCAAACAGGAUUAGAUACCCUGGUAGUCCAUACCGUAAACGAUGAAUG
RNAcentral lists this ribosomal RNA (780 nucleotides) under Lactiplantibacillus plantarum. Its description in RNAcentral is "bacterial SSU rRNA". It matches the Rfam family "Bacterial small subunit ribosomal RNA", at positions 65 to 815 of the family's 1533-position model. Lineage: Bacteria; Bacillati; Bacillota; Bacilli; Lactobacillales; Lactobacillaceae. The record is from RNAcentral.